CAAAGAGUCCGGUACACAAGGAGC
Molecule: non-coding RNA, 24 nt
Filed under: Rattus norvegicus (Norway rat)
Lineage: Eukaryota; Metazoa; Chordata; Mammalia; Rodentia; Muridae
Source: RNAcentral